GGUCUUAUAGUCAAUUAUGACACUAAAUUGCAAAUUUAGAGGUGGAAAAAUUCCCAAGGCCU
Molecule: transfer RNA, 62 nt
Filed under: Histeridae sp. BMNH 1274741
Lineage: Eukaryota; Metazoa; Arthropoda; Insecta; Coleoptera; Histeridae
Description: tRNA-Cys
Source: RNAcentral